This 496-nucleotide ribosomal RNA is filed under the name uncultured bacterium. Its description in RNAcentral is "partial 16S ribosomal RNA". It matches the Rfam family "Bacterial small subunit ribosomal RNA", at positions 29 to 507 of the family's 1533-position model. The record is from RNAcentral.
AUGAACGCUGGCGGCGUGCCUAAUACAUGCAGGUCGAGCGAACAGAUGAGGAGCUUGCUCCUCUGACGUUAGCGGCGGACGGGUGAGUAACACGUGGAUAACCUACCUAUAAGACUGGGAUAACUUCGGGAAACCGGAGCUAAUACCGGAUAAUAUAUUGAACCGCAUGGUUCAAUAGUGAAAGACGGUUUUGCUGUCACUUAUAGAUGGAUCCGCGCCGCAUUAGCUAGUUGGUAAGGUAACGGCUUACCAAGGCAACGAUGCGUAGCCGACCUGAGAGGGUGAUCGGCCACACUGGAACUGAGACACGGUCCAGACUCCUACGGGAGGCAGCAGUAGGGAAUCUUCCGCAAUGGGCGAAAGCCUGACGGAGCAACGCCGCGUGAGUGAUGAAGGUCUUCGGAUCGUAAAACUCUGUUAUUGGGGAAGAACAAAUGUGUAAGUAACUAUGCACGUCUUGACGGUACCUAAUCAGAAAGCCACGGCUAACUACGUG